GGAGCUGGGGUUGCCCCCAUAAGGCUCCCUGAGGGAUUCCGUCCGUCGGGCUUCUAGCCUGGGACAGGACAACCUUGAAGCCUUCAAUAAACUUGAGGCUUAUCUAGCUCCUCUCCUCUUCGACCUUCUGAAGGAGCAACUCUUAUUUAACAUCGGCCUAUGCCCUCUCAACCCUACCGGUAUUUUUUUUUGUCAUUCGCUGCUUUCCCUUU
RNAcentral lists this long non-coding RNA (212 nucleotides) under Elaeis guineensis (African oil palm). RNAcentral describes it as "long non-coding RNA (EGUI_LNC068836)". The record is from RNAcentral. Lineage: Eukaryota; Viridiplantae; Streptophyta; Magnoliopsida; Arecales; Arecaceae.